RNAcentral lists this ribosomal RNA (286 nucleotides) under uncultured diatom. RNAcentral's name for it is "partial 18S ribosomal RNA". It matches the Rfam family "Eukaryotic small subunit ribosomal RNA", at positions 598 to 888 of the family's 1831-position model. Lineage: Eukaryota; Bacillariophyta. The record is from RNAcentral.
CGUAUAUUAAAGUUGUUGCAGUUAAAAAGCUCGUAGUUGGAUUUGUGGCGUAUGGUGUGUUCCGGGCACUUGUUGUCUGAGUAACCUGCUGUUGCCAUCCUUGGGUGGAACCUGUGUGGCAUUAGGUUGUCGUGCAGGGGAUGCCCAUCAUUCACUGUGAAAAAAUUAGAGUGUUCAAAGCAGGCUUAUGCCGUCGAAUAUAUUAGCAUGGAAUAAUGAGAUAGGACUUUUUUACUAUUUUGUUGGUUUGCGUAAAGAGGUAAUGAUUAAUAGGGACAGUUGGGGG